UACGUAGGGGGCAAGCGUUCCUCGGAAUUACUGGGCGUAAAGGGUGAGCAGGCGGCUGAGCAAGUCAAGGAUGAAAGCCCGAGGCUCAACUUCGGAAUUGUCCUUGAAACUGCUCAGCUUGAGGGUAGUUGAGGAGAGUGGAAUUCCCGGUGGAGCGGUGAAAUGCGUAGAUAUCGGGAGGAAUACCUGAGGCGACGGCGGCUCUCUAAGCUAUUCCUGACGCUGAAUCACGGAAGCUAGGGGAUCAAACGGG
This 253-nucleotide ribosomal RNA is filed under the name uncultured bacterium. RNAcentral's name for it is "partial 16S ribosomal RNA". It matches the Rfam family "Bacterial small subunit ribosomal RNA", at positions 524 to 776 of the family's 1533-position model. The record is from RNAcentral.